Molecule: long non-coding RNA, 1864 nt
Organism: Camelina sativa (false flax)
Lineage: Eukaryota; Viridiplantae; Streptophyta; Magnoliopsida; Brassicales; Brassicaceae
Source: RefSeq, a predicted model, not a curated record
CGCACGAGCGAGCCGCUUCAGUCCAGAUGCGAGACCUACAUGUCCACCCUUCCCAAUUCAAUUAAACUAUUGAUUGAGAAAUCUCUCUCUCAGAUUAACGCACUAAUCAAGACUAGUACUCUAAUUAAGUAGUAGUAGUUUAUAAAAGAAUUAAGCUCGUUCUUCCUUGCCAUUACUUAUAUAAAACCCUCUCUCCCGUUCGUCUCCUCAACUUAAUCCUCCUCACUGCUCUAUCUCAUCUUUCUCUCUUGCCCUAGCUUCAUCAACUCCUCUCAAUCAGCUAAACAUCAUAUUUCACCUCACUUCAAACCGGCUUUUUUCCUUUGAUUUUGUUUGUUUCCCCCGGUGGGAUCUCGUGACGGAGAACCGCCAUUUGAUCUCUCGAUGUUAUUCGUAGCGUCGAUUACUUCUACGGAUUUUGAUAUGCCCAUGGGCUGAGAGAGAGAGAGAGAGGAUGAGAGUUUUCUCAAUCUUGAGUGGAUCUGUCUCCUCUUCUUGUUUUCAGUUGAAAACGGGUACAUAUAAUCGAGAUAAGAUUGACUGAGAUGCGGCGCAAAUCCAUUUUAGUAUGGGACCGCUGUGGUUGAUUAAGCGGAAGACUUGGCAGGUUUGCUCGAGUUAUCUCUCUUGUCUAGACCAUUUGUGAGAAGGGAUCUUUUGUUUCCACCAAUACCCCCACCAAUCUCUAAAUCUGCACUAAGUAUUAUUCUCACACUACACUUUUAAAACCAAUCCUAUGUUUCAGAUGCUUUCCUAGCCUAGAAUGCAUUGUUGUGCGAAUAUGUAAUGUCUUGGCACAUCAGGGUUAGUUUCUUCUGUACCCCUCUAGAUAUUCUCUUACUGUGUAGGAUUCCCGAGCUACCAAAACUUUAAGAAAUUAGAGAACUGUAGCCGAUCCCCAUCCUAUAAGAAAGGUCUACUCUGCAGGUCACAGCUAUUAGAGCCGCACUCCUCAUAGUUAACGUGUUUAUUUCUUCCAUCAAAAUCUGAUCCUUGAUAAGCUAUAUUUAAAUAUUAAAAGUAAGUAGAUAAAAGUGCAUUAGUGGCUUUUCCUUAAUUUCCUUUGUGUUCCAAGUCAAUUUAAGAUGAUUCUCGAAUUCAUAUAAAAUCGUUUACACCAUGGACAUGAUAACUAAGGUCUAAGAAUUUGUAUCGUCUUACGCUAGUAGCUACACUAGUUUCCUAAGAAAUAAAAAUGGGGAUUGGUGAGGUGGUUGGUUAUAUUCCCUUCUCAUCGAUGGUCUAGAUGUGCGAGGUGACUCUCAUGAAUUUGUGAAGCUCCCAAGAUAGUAAUGGUAAUUCCUAAAAAGUGGGUUAGAUUUUCAGCUUGUGAAUUUGUUGUAUUGCAUAAUUUUCAUGCCAAUGAAUCCUCCAACACAGGUGAUGUUUCCAAUUAUAGUUGUGUAAGCUUUUUUGGGGAUUGAGUAAAUCAUCCCAUUACUCAAACUAAUGUAAAUGAUGGAUGCAGUAGUGAAUUUGUUGCAAGGUGAAUAGGUUUUGUUGCCUUUGCAAGAAGGUUUUGUUGCCUUUGCAAGAAGUAAAGAAGACAGAAACAGGUUGUAAGAUAAAGCACAAGUGUGUAUAUAUGGAUGAAAGAGGAAAGUGGACGGAAGGUGUAACCUUUGACUUGUGGUCACUGAUGUUCUCGCUCAUCCAUUUCAUGCUGCAACAGGAAACAACAAAAGGAAUGGAUGACGUAACGCCAAGCAUUAAGAGGUUGCUUGUAGACUUGAUAAUAAAUCACUCCAUUACUAACGUAAUAUUUGUCAUCUUCCGUAGUUUCUGACUACCAAAUGAGACUAUGUAUCUUAGCUAAUGUAUCAUUACUGUGCGUAAAUGAUAAUGUUAUUUUUAUUUGUGGGAC